Molecule: ribosomal RNA, 253 nt
Filed under: uncultured bacterium
Lineage: Bacteria
Description: partial 16S ribosomal RNA
Rfam family: Bacterial small subunit ribosomal RNA
Source: RNAcentral
UACAGAGGGGGCAAGCGUUGUUCGGAAUUACUGGGCGUAAAGGGCGCGUAGGCGGCCUGUUAAGUCGAACGUGAAAUCCCCGGGCUCAACCCGGGAACUGCGUCCGAUACUGGCAGGCUUGAGUUCGGGAGAGGAAUGUGGAAUUCCAGGUGUAGCGGUGAAAUGCGUAGAUAUCUGGAGGAACACCGGUGGCGAAGGCGGCAUUCUGGACCGAAACUGACGCUGAGGCGCGAAAGCCAGGGGAGCAAACGGG